CCUACGGGGGGCUGCAGUAAGGAAUAUUGGUCAAUGGACGCAAGUCUGAACCAGCCAUGCCGCGUGGAGGAUGAAGGUCCUCUGGAUUGUAAACUUCUUUUAUUUGGGAAGAAACUACCGAUUUCCAUCGGGAUUGACGGUACCAGAUGAAUAAGCACCGGCUAACUCCGUGCCAGCAGCCGCGGUAAUACGGAGGGUGACAGCGUUACCGGGUUUCAAUGGGUUGUAGGUGUGCAUGGAAGGGAGUGGUGAAAUCUCCGGGCUUAACCCGGAAACUGCCAUUGAUACUAUUUGUCUUGAAUACUCUUGAGGUGAGCGGAAUAUGUCAUGUAGCGGUGAAAUGCUUAGAUAUGACAUAGAACACCCAUUGCGAAGGCAGCUCACUACGGAAAUAUUGACGCUGAGGCACGAAAGCGUGGGGAUCAAACAGGAUUAGAUACCCUUGUAGUC
RNAcentral lists this ribosomal RNA (450 nucleotides) under uncultured bacterium. RNAcentral describes it as "partial 16S ribosomal RNA". It matches the Rfam family "Bacterial small subunit ribosomal RNA", at positions 338 to 795 of the family's 1533-position model. The record is from RNAcentral.